AGAGUUUGAUCCUGGCUCAGGAUGAACGCUGGCGGCGUGCCUAACACAUGCAAGUCGAGCGAUUCUCUUCGGAGAAGAGCGGCGGACGGGUGAGUAACGCGUGGGUAACCUGCCCUGUACACACGGAUAACAUACCGAAAGGUAUGCUAAUACGGGAUAACACAAGAAAUUCGCAUGUUUUUCUUAUCAAAGCUCCGGCGGUACAGGAUGGACCCGCGUCUGAUUAGCUAGUUGGUGAGGUAACGGCUCACCAAGGCGACGAUCAGUAGCCGACCUGAGAGGGUGAUCGGCCACAUUGGAACUGGGGCACGGUCCAAACUCCUACGGGAGGCAGCAGUGGGGAAUAUUGCACAAUGGGCGAAAGCCUGAUGCAGCAACGCCGCGUGAGCGAUGAAGGCCUUCGGGUCGUAAAGCUCUGUCCUCAAGGAAGAUAAUGACGGUACUUGAGGAGGAAGCCCCGGCUAACUACGUGCCAGCAGCCGCGGUAAUACGUAGGGGGCUAGCGUUAUCCGGAUUUACUGGGCGUAAAGGGUGCGUAGGCGGUCUUUUAAGUCAGGAGUGAAAGGCUACGGCUCAACCGUAGUAAGCUCUUGAAACUGGAGGACUUGAGUGCAGGAGAGGAGAGUGGAAUUCCUAGUGUAGCGGUGAAAUGCGUAGAUAUUAGGAGGAACACCAGUAGCGAAGGCGGCUCUCUGGACUGUAACUGACGCUGAGGCACGAAAGCGUGGGGAGCAAACAGGAUUAGAUACCCUGGUAGUCCACGCCGUAAACGAUGAGUACUAGCUGUCGGAGGUUACCCCCUUCGGUGGCGCAGCUAACGCAUUAAGUACUCCGCCUGGGGAGUACGCUCGCAAGAGUGAAACUCAAAGGAAUUGACGGGGAUCCGCACAAGUAGCGGAGCAUGUGGUUUAAUUCGAAGCAACGCGAAGAACCUUACCUAAGCUUGACAUCCUUUUGACCGAUGCCUAAUCGCAUCUUUCCCUUCGGGGACAGAAGUGACAGGUGGUGCAUGGUUGUCGUCAGCUCGUGUCGUGAGAUGUUGGGUUAAGUCCCGCAACGAGCGCAACCCUUGCCUUUAGUUGCCAUCAUUAAGUUGGGCACUCUAGAGGGACUGCCAGGGAUAACCUGGAGGAAGGUGGGGAUGACGUCAAAUCAUCAUGCCCCUUAUGCUUAGGGCUACACACGUGCUACAAUGGGUGGUACAGAGGGCAGCGAAGUCGUGAGGCCAAGCUAAUCCCUUAAAGCCAUUCUCAGUUCGGAUUGUAGGCUGAAACUCGCCUACAUGAAGCUGGAGUUACUAGUAAUCGCAGAUCAGAAUGCUGCGGUGAAUGCGUUCCCGGGUCUUGUACACACCGCCCGUCACACCAUGGGAGUUGGGGGCGCCCGAAGCCGGCUAGCUAACCUUUUGGAAGCGGUCGUCGAAGGUGAAACCAAUAACUGGGGUGAAGUCGUAACAAGGUA
This 1461-nucleotide ribosomal RNA is filed under the name metagenome. Its description in RNAcentral is "bacterial SSU rRNA". It matches the Rfam family "Bacterial small subunit ribosomal RNA". The record is from RNAcentral.